This 385-nucleotide unclassified non-coding RNA is filed under the name uncultured bacterium. Its description in RNAcentral is "contains 16S-23S intergenic spacer region". The record is from RNAcentral.
UCCUGGUUUCCCAGGCAGUCCCAUCAGAGUGCCUUGCAAAGCAAGUAGCAACUGACGGCAAGGGUUGCGCUCGUUAGAGGACUUAACCUAACAUCUCACGACACGAGCUGACGACAGCCAUGCAGCACCUGUGCACCUGUCCGAACCGAAAUUCGAAAAACCAUAUUUCUAUGGCGGUCAAGUGCAUGUCAAGUCCAGGUAAGGUUCCUCGCGUAGUGUCGAAUUAAACCACAUGUUCCACCGCUUGUGCGGACCCCCGUCAAUUCCUUUAAGUUUUAAUCUUGCGAUCGUAUUCCCCAGGCGAAUCACUUAACGCGUUAGCUACGAUACCAACCCAGCUAGGCCGGGCUGACAUCUAGUGAUUAUCGUUUACGGCGUGGACUAC